This 490-nucleotide ribosomal RNA is filed under the name uncultured bacterium. RNAcentral describes it as "partial 16S ribosomal RNA". It matches the Rfam family "Bacterial small subunit ribosomal RNA", at positions 30 to 507 of the family's 1533-position model. The record is from RNAcentral.
AUUGAACGCUGGCGGCAGGCCUAACACAUGCAAGUCGAACGGUAACAGGAAGAAGCUUGCUUCUUUGCUGACGAGUGGCGGACGGGUGAGUAAUGUCUGGGAAACUGCCUGAUGGAGGGGGAUAACUACUGGAAACGGUAGCUAAUACCGCAUAAUGUCGCAAGACCAAAGAGGGGGACCUUCGGGCCUCUUGCCAUCGGAUGUGCCCAGAUGGGAUUAGCUAGUAGGUGGGGUAACGGCUCACCUAGGCGACGAUCCCUAGCUGGUCUGAGAGGAUGACCAGCCAUACUGGAACUGAGACACGGUCCAGACUCCUACGGGAGGCAGCAGUGGGGAAUAUUGCACAAUGGGCGCAAGCCUGAUGCAGCUAUGCCGCGUGUAUGAAGAAGGCCUUCGGGUUGUAAAGUACUUUCAGCGGGGAGGAAGGGAGUAAAGUUAAUACCUUUGCUCAUUGACGUUACCCGCAGAAGAAGCACCGGCUAACUCCGUG